This is a long non-coding RNA of Dioscorea cayenensis subsp. rotundata (Guinea yam), 412 nucleotides long. RefSeq lists it as uncharacterized. NCBI's taxonomy places the organism in Eukaryota, Viridiplantae, Streptophyta, Magnoliopsida, Dioscoreales, Dioscoreaceae. The record is from RefSeq and is a predicted model, not a curated record. The transcript has 2 exons.
AUUGGAGUGGGAAGAUGACACCAUCCAGUCUUUCCUUUCAAGAUUCAUCAAUUUUUACUGAGAUCAGUCAUUAUCUCUCAACUGUCCCAUUUUGAUUGGAGGUGUUGGAACUAUAUCCAGUUUAAAGAAGGAUGAAGAUGGUCGACCAGUAUUUGAAUUCAUUGAAGAAAAUUAAAAGCCUAAAAAUUUUCAGAUAUUUGUUAGAGAUCACCAAGUAUCAUACAGAUGCAACUUACAUAUGCAUGUUUCGUUCUUGAUGAAGACUUGGUCUAGUAUAUAAUUCAAAUGAAUCAAAUCUAUUUGAAUUAUUUGUUCUUGUUUUCGUAUAGGAAUACGAAUUGUUGUGCAAACUCUGUAAAUACAUAUGCAUCAAGCGCAUUCAAUAUACUGAAGAAAUCUGUAAAUAUAUCUA